UAGAUACCCUAUUAUUUUGGAUUUAAAAUUUUAAGCUUGAGUAGUAUUAGGUAUGGUCUUGAAACUUAAAGAAUUUGGCGGCAUUUUAGUCUAGUUAGAGGAAUCUGUCCCAUUAUCGAUAAUCCACGCUGAACCUUACUUAAUUUAAUUUAAUAUGUAUACCGCCGUUUACUAUGAAAAUCUUUUUAGGGAUAAUUUUCUCAAAAUUUUAAUUAAUUUUAUUUCAGGUCAAGGUGCAGUUUAUAAUUAAGUGGUGAUGGAUUACAUUAUUUAUAAAAUAAAUGGAUUAGAAUUUGAAAUUAUUUUAUGAAGGUGGAUUUAAUAGUAAUUAAUAAUAAGAAUUAUUUUUAUGAUUUUAGCUCUAAAAUGUGUACACAUCGCCCGUCACUCUCGUUAUUAAGAUGAGAUAAGUC
This 413-nucleotide ribosomal RNA is filed under the name Macropanesthia spuritegmina. RNAcentral's name for it is "partial 12S ribosomal RNA". Lineage: Eukaryota; Metazoa; Arthropoda; Insecta; Blattodea; Blaberidae. The record is from RNAcentral.